Oncorhynchus keta (chum salmon) is the source of this 208-nucleotide long non-coding RNA. RefSeq lists it as uncharacterized. The transcript has 3 exons. NCBI's taxonomy places the organism in Eukaryota, Metazoa, Chordata, Actinopteri, Salmoniformes, Salmonidae. The record is from RefSeq and is a predicted model, not a curated record.
CUGUCUCCAAGUGUUACCUAACCCUAGUCCCUCUCUCUCACUGUCUCCAAGUGUUACCUAACCCCUCUCUCACUCACUGUCUCCAAGUACUGUAACCAGGUGUUGAAUAAGGAGAUGGAUGAAUGUGUUUAUAAUAUUAGUGUGUGUAUCUCUCUCUCUCCAGGUACUGUAACCAGGUGUUGAAUAAGGAGAUAGAUGAAUGUGUUUA